This is a long non-coding RNA of Hipposideros armiger (great roundleaf bat), 726 nucleotides long. RefSeq lists it as uncharacterized. The record is from RefSeq and is a predicted model, not a curated record. The transcript is spliced from 3 exons. NCBI's taxonomy places the organism in Eukaryota, Metazoa, Chordata, Mammalia, Chiroptera, Hipposideridae.
GGUGCCGCGGCCGCAGUGGCCGAGAAGCGCUCGAGGGCCAGGGGGUCCCGGGGCAGGUGGAAGCGCGGGGCUGCCUCGUGCAGGCUCAGAAGAGCCCGAGCGUCCUCGUGUUCAUGUAGACGCCGGUGCCGUGAGCUCCUCUUCCAGAACAGACCAUCCUUCGGACCAGGUGGCCUUGCCAAAAUAUGCGUGUUUGUCAGAGUCACCAGCUGAGUAGCUGUCUGAGGUCCAGCGGGUUAUAGCCCCCGAAUUGGUAGCUUCAGUCCAGACACUCAAGAGCCUGCAGUCUGCCCUAUGCACCCCCUCAUGGCUCCAGUGCCCCUUUCCCAAUGCUGUGUUGUCAUCGCCAUCUGGCUUUCAGUCACCCAAAGAACUGCAAUCUUCUGAACUCCCCCCGCCACUGACCAAGCAGCAAGGCUUGUGCGUGCUCCCUCCUAGACCCCCGUCACCAUCAUUACUUCUGACACCCAGACCCUGCACCAGCUCACCCAGUGCCUGAUGGGCAUGUCUGGCCCCCCUGCCCUCCAGGCCCUGCCUCUGCCCCAACUUUCAAGAUGUCUGUGCUCCCUUUGUGUGAGCACACCUGACUGGCUGCCUCUGCCAGGAGCUCCAGUCCCCAGUAUCACUGUUCUGCCCCUUUUGCCGUUGUGGGCCCCUCCUCCACGACAUAUUUUUAAAUUAUGUUUUACAACUAUGUUGGUAUGAAGACAAAUGUAAUCCAUGCUA